RNAcentral lists this ribosomal RNA (932 nucleotides) under human gut metagenome. RNAcentral's name for it is "bacterial SSU rRNA". It matches the Rfam family "Bacterial small subunit ribosomal RNA", at positions 360 to 1285 of the family's 1533-position model. The record is from RNAcentral.
AAUCUUCCACAAUGGACGAAAGUCUGAUGGAGCAACGCCGCGUGAAUGAAGAAGGCCUUCGGGUCGUAAAAUUCUGUUGUCAGAGAAGAACGUGCGUGAGAGUAACUGUUCACGUAUUGACGGUAUCUGACCAGAAAGCCACGGCUAACUACGUGCCAGCAGCCGCGGUAAUACGUAGGUGGCAAGCGUUGUCCGGAUUUAUUGGGCGUAAAGGGAACGCAGGCGGUCUUUUAAGUCUGAUGUGAAAGCCUUCGGCUUAACCGAAGUAGUGCAUUGGAAACUGGAAGACUUGAGUGCAGAAGAGGAGAGUGGAACUCCAUGUGUAGCGGUGAAAUGCGUAGAUAUAUGGAAGAACACCAGUGGCGAAAGCGGCUCUCUGGUCUGUAACUGACGCUGAGGUUCGAAAGCGUGGGUAGCAAACAGGAUUAGAUACCCUGGUAGUCCACGCCGUAAACGAUGAGUGCUAAGUGUUGGAGGGUUUCCGCCCUUCAGUGCUGCAGCUAACGCAUUAAGCACUCCGCCUGGGGAGUACGGUCGCAAGACUGAAACUCAAAGGAAUUGACGGGGGCCCGCACAAGCAGUGGAUUAUGUGGUUUAAUUCGAAGCAACGCGAAGAACCUUACCAGGUCUUGACAUCUUCUGACAAUUCCAGAGAUGGAACGUUCCCUUCGGGGACAGAAUGACAGGUGGUGCAUGGUUGUCGUCAGCUCGUGUCGUGAGAUGUUGGGUUAAGUCCCGCAACGAGCGCAACCCUUAUUGUCAGUUGCCAUCAUUAAGUUGGGCACUCUGGCGAGACUGCCGGUGACAAACCGGAGGAAGGUGGGGAUGACGUCAAAUCAUCAUGCCCCUUAUGACCUGGGCUACACACGUGCUACAAUGGACGGUACAACGAGUCGCUAACUCGCGAGGGCAAGCUAAUCUCUUAAAGCCGU